RNAcentral lists this ribosomal RNA (468 nucleotides) under uncultured bacterium. RNAcentral's name for it is "partial 16S ribosomal RNA". It matches the Rfam family "Bacterial small subunit ribosomal RNA", at positions 28 to 507 of the family's 1533-position model. The record is from RNAcentral.
GACGAACGCUGGCGGCGUGCUUAACACAUGCCAGUCGAACGGAAAGGCCCUGCUUUUGUGGGGUGCUCGAGUGGCGAACGGGUGAGUAACACGUGAGUAACCUGCCCUUGACUUUGGGAUAACUUCAGGAAACUGGGGCUAAUACCGGAUAUGAUCUCCUGCUGCAUGUGGGGGGUUGGAAAGUUUCGGCGGUUGGGGAUGGACUCGCGGCUUAUCAGCUUGUUGGUGGGGUAGUGGUUUACCAAGGCUUUGACGGGUAGCCGGCCUGGGAGGGUGACCGGGCACAUGGGGACUGAGGUACGGCCCAGAAUCCAACGGGAGGCAGCAGUGGGGAAUCUUGCACAAUGGGCGGAAGCCUGAUGCAGCAACGCUGCGUGCGGGAUGACGGCCUUCGAGUUGUAAACCGCUUUCGCCUGUGACGAAGCGUGAGUGACGGUAAUGGGUAAAGAAGCACCGGCUAACUACGUG